UACAGAGGGGGCGAGCGUUGUUCGGAAUUACUGGGCGUAAAGGGCGCGUAGGCGGCCAACUAAGUCAGACGUGGAAUCCCUCGGCUCAACCGGGGAACUGCGUCUGAUACUGGAUGGCUUGAAUUCGGGAGAGGGUGGUGGAAUUCCGAGUGUAGAGGUGAAAUUCGUAGAUAUUCGGAGGAACACCGGUGGCGAAGGCGGCCACCUGGUCCGGUACUGACGCUCAAGCGCGAAAGCGUGGGGAGCAAACAGGG
RNAcentral lists this ribosomal RNA (254 nucleotides) under uncultured bacterium. RNAcentral describes it as "partial 16S ribosomal RNA". It matches the Rfam family "Bacterial small subunit ribosomal RNA", at positions 524 to 777 of the family's 1533-position model. The record is from RNAcentral.